AUGAAGAACGUAGUGAAAUGCGAUAAGUAAUGUGAAUUGCAGAAUUCAGUGAAUCAUCGAAUCUUUGAACGCACAUUGCGCCCGCCAGUAUUCUGGCGGGCAUGCCUGUCCGAGCGUCAUUUCAACCAUCAAGCCCCCGGGCUUGUGUUGGGGACCUGCGGCUGCCCGCAGGCCCUGAAAACCAGUGGCGGGCUCGCUGUCACACCGAGCGUAGUAGCAAUCACCUCGCUCAGGGCGUGCUGCGGGUUCCGGCCGUUAAACAGCCUUACAAAACCCAAGGUUGACCUCGGAUCAGGUAGGAAGACCCGCUGAACUUAAGCAUAUCAAUAAGCGGAGGA
Molecule: unclassified non-coding RNA, 338 nt
Filed under: soil metagenome
Description: partial contains 5.8S ribosomal RNA, internal transcribed spacer 2, and large subunit ribosomal RNA
Rfam family: 5.8S ribosomal RNA (bases 1-119)
Source: RNAcentral